Molecule: ribosomal RNA, 492 nt
Filed under: uncultured bacterium
Lineage: Bacteria
Description: partial 16S ribosomal RNA
Rfam family: Bacterial small subunit ribosomal RNA
Source: RNAcentral
AGUGAACGCUGGCGGUAGGCCUAACACAUGCAAGUCGAACGGCAGCACAGUAAGAGCUUGCUCUUACGGGUGGCGAGUGGCGGACGGGUGAGGAAUACAUCGGAAUCUACUUUUUCGUGGGGGAUAACGUAGGGAAACUUACGCUAAUACCGCAUACGACCUACGGGUGAAAGCAGGGGAUCUUCGGACCUUGCGCGAUUGAAUGAGCCGAUGUCGGAUUAGCUAGUUGGCGGGGUAAAGGCCCACCAAGGCGACGAUCCGUAGCUGGUCUGAGAGGAUGAUCAGCCACCCUGGAACUGAGGCACGGUCCAGACUCCUAAGGGGAGCAGCAGUGGGGAAUAUUGGACAAUGGGCGCAAGCCUGAUCCAGCCAUACCGCGUGGGUGAAGAAGGCCUUCGGGUUGUAAAGCCCUUUUGUUGGGAAAGAAAAGCAGCAGGUUAAUACCCCGCUGUUCUGACGGUACCCAAAGAAUAAGCACCGGCUAACUUCGUG